This 27-nucleotide non-coding RNA is filed under the name Bombyx mori (domestic silkworm). Lineage: Eukaryota; Metazoa; Arthropoda; Insecta; Lepidoptera; Bombycidae. The record is from RNAcentral.
UCCAGAAAUGAUAUGGUCGUUGAACAU